This 29-nucleotide ribosomal RNA is filed under the name Melanorivulus punctatus. Its description in RNAcentral is "partial 16S ribosomal RNA". Lineage: Eukaryota; Metazoa; Chordata; Actinopteri; Cyprinodontiformes; Rivulidae. The record is from RNAcentral.
CACUAAACAGCUAGCUUAAACAACCAUAA